Myotis brandtii (Brandt's bat) is the source of this 75-nucleotide non-coding RNA. Lineage: Eukaryota; Metazoa; Chordata; Mammalia; Chiroptera; Vespertilionidae. The record is from Rfam.
AAAGGACCAGUAUGAAAAACAAUAUGCCGAGAAAGUGGAAGAAAAAUUAAAUGUCAACAUUUCAGCUUUGCUUAA